AGUAUGUGAGAAAAUACUACCUAAAAUUAGGUCCAUAUCACCCCUUCUAUUUCCAUCAAAGAAUUGUGCAAGAAAAAGCCCAAAAUAAAGCAAGACGAAAUGAAAAUAAAAGGACUCAUCAUCAUCAUCAUCUAGUGUGCCUCAACAGAGAUAUAUCAGAGUUUUAUUGAGCGCCAUGUGAGCAUCAAAAUUGCUGAAAUAAUUAUUGUUUUAUCUCAACAUACGAGCAUCUGUUACUGGAAAUAUACAAGGGACAGGGACAUGUGAAAAAGUGGGUGAUUUUAUGAAUGAGCCAAGCUCGACUCGCAAAACUAAUCGAGCACUAAAUCAAAAAUGUCAAACUCAAGGGCAAGUAAGUCGUUAACAAUGGUACGCAUGGAUAACGUGAAGUGGAAGGUUAUGUGGGUGUUCUUUAAUUAUUCAAGGAGAAUAUGAUUUAGGACUACAUUAGAAGUCGUUAAAGUAUGUGGUAGAUGAGUAAAGUGCUCUUUAAACUAUUCUUACAGUUUUCCAGAGUAUUUAAGGUCUGGUGUUGUGGAAGCGGAUGUAAUAUACACAUAAAUGUACCUUGACUAUCCAUUCGUUUAAGCAUAGCGGCUAUCUAGUUCUGAGAUUAGGUUGAAAUACCCAAUUUGAAUAUACACAUCCAACCACAUUCUGACAUAGGUCCAAGCAAUUUAACUGCCGAUUUUACAUGGAAAUGCAGAGAUUUUAUUAAGAUAUUACUAUGUAGGGGAUCCAACAGUAGUAGGUAAUACAUCACACGGAGCUGAAAUAAAAAGGCGAUUUCAAACUGACUUCUUAGAAAAUAUGUAGAAUGAUGGUUAUCCACAAAAGUAGCAUGCCUAAGAACCAUGAUACGCUGAAGGCUUUGGGGUUGGAGAUCCAUUUUGUAUUAGUCGGCAUCUAUUUUAUAUCCUUAAGAGAGGCUUCGAUUAACUCCCAAGGAAAAUAUCCUCCUUUUUUAUAUUAAGCUGCUUCUUGUAGUCUGCAUGGAUUAUGUGAUUUCGCUACUUCUGCGAUUUCCUGGGCCACUGGACAAAGUCCUUUGAAAGCCCUUUUCACCCAUUUGUCCAAAUGAGAGAUAUCAGAACCGUUAGAUGUUCGAAACUACCCACAAGCUGUCUUGGUGAUCUCAUGUUUCACCCUUUAGACUUGUAUUUGAUCAUCUAUUUACCCGCACCUAUAUCCAUUGCCAUCGUGGAUUUUCACAGUGCGGUUAUCAUCCCUGGCAUCUACUCUUGCAGUUAUAAUAUUUGAGUUGCAGAUAUUUUGAUCAUUGCAGGCUUGCAGCUUUGUGAGUGCCUGGCUGCUAAACAUUUGUUAAAAAGUCUCUACAGAUGGUAGGAAACACUCGUGGGUCACGUGGACAAUUAUGUUGCAUUAAAGGCCCCCAUCAUUUAAUACCCAUGCCCCUCAAUGUGACAAUGUGUAUCUUCUGCAUUCCUAAAAGUAUAACAAGAAUAUGUCGAAUAUCCGUUCAAUAGACUAUGCCAAAUUAUCAUUUGUGUUUAAUUGCAGGCAAAUGUAUUUGUGGGCUAAAACUCAAGGGAAAGCACAAGGGUGUGUUAUUAUUUGGUGAGAGAAUUAAUUAUGGUGCACAUGGGGAUUCCAUGGCAAAGGGACCCUGCGGUGAGCUCACAUGUUCAUGUUGGCCCUUUCAUGACCAACCAAGCUAUGUAACAUUGCUUUUCAAAUCAAAUAUCUGCUCCAUCCUUAUGCUUCCUUGCCCGUUGUGGUGCAUCUGGGUAAACUUUUAGAGUGGGGAAACGGGCUGGUAGAAAUGGUUCAAAAUAGGUUGGACACGUCCUAGCUGCUGACCCAUUUUUAUUUCUCUCUUGUAGAAAUAGCAGUGUUCUUACACCUCAUAUAUUUUAGACACUAUAAUACUACAUUGUACUCCGUAUAACUUUUCUAGCAAAUUCUAGUAACUCAAAAUUAUGGUAUAUGAAAGAAAUCGACAAACUA
Long non-coding RNA from Erigeron canadensis, 1968 nucleotides. RefSeq lists it as uncharacterized. The record is from RefSeq and is a predicted model, not a curated record. The transcript is spliced from 4 exons. NCBI's taxonomy places the organism in Eukaryota, Viridiplantae, Streptophyta, Magnoliopsida, Asterales, Asteraceae.